RNAcentral lists this ribosomal RNA (253 nucleotides) under uncultured bacterium. RNAcentral describes it as "partial 16S ribosomal RNA". It matches the Rfam family "Bacterial small subunit ribosomal RNA", at positions 524 to 776 of the family's 1533-position model. The record is from RNAcentral.
GACGAAGGUGGCGACCGUUGUUCGGAAUCACUGGGCAUAAAGAGCACGUAGGCGGCAAGGUAAGUCGGGUGUGAAAUCCCUCGGCCUAACCGAGGAAUUGCGCCCGAAACUACCGUGCUUGAGGAUGGAAGGGGAGCGUGGAAUUCCUGGUGGAGCGGUGAAAUGCGUUGAUAUCAGGAGGAACACCGGCGGCGAAGGCGACGCUCUGGUCCAUUUCUGACGCUGAGGUGCGAAAGCCAGGGGAGCAAACGGG